RNAcentral lists this unclassified non-coding RNA (390 nucleotides) under uncultured fungus. RNAcentral describes it as "partial contains 5.8S ribosomal RNA and internal transcribed spacer 2". The stretch from base 1 to 133 matches the Rfam family "5.8S ribosomal RNA", at positions 22 to 154 of the family's 154-position model. The record is from RNAcentral. Lineage: Eukaryota; Fungi.
UGGUUCUGGCAUCGAUGAAGAACGCAGCGAAAUGCGAUAAGUAAUGUGAAUUGCAGAAUUUUGUGAAUCAUCGAAUCUUUGAACGCACAUUGCACCUUUUGGUAUUCCGAAAGGUAUGCUUGUUCGAGCGUCGUUUUAAUAUCAUCAGGCAACUUUAUCGUUGUUCUGAAUGGAAUUGGAGCUUCAGGAGUGUUUGUACCUCUGAUCUUUCAAAAUAAUUGGAAGCGAUCUUUGAUUGAUUAUUAUUAAACGCAUUAGAAAUUUUCGUUAUGAGAAAAUCAGUGUAAAAGAUCAGCCUUGUUUCUGUUAGGUAGUAGUUCAAUUUAUUGAGCUAUCCAUACCUACAUAUCCUAAAUUAUCGACCUCGAAUCAAGUAGGAUUACCCGCUGA